AGAGUUUGAUCCUGGCUCAGGAUGAACGCUAGCGACAGGCUUAACACAUGCAAGUCGAGGGGCAGCGGGGGCGAAGCUUGCUUCGCCUGCCGGCGACCGGCGCACGGGUGAGUAACACGUAUGCGACCUGCCCCCCGCAGGGGGAUAACCGGGAGAAAUCCCGACUAAUACCGCGUAACGCCGCUGGGCUGCAUGGCCCGGCGGCCAAAGGAAGCGAUUCCGGCGGGGGAUGGGCAUGCGGCGCAUUAGCUAGUCGGCGGGGUAACGGCCCACCGAGGCGACGAUGCGUAGGGGUUCUGAGAGGAAGGUCCCCCACACUGGUACUGAGACACGGACCAGACUCCUACGGGAGGCAGCAGUGAGGAAUAUUGGUCAAUGGGCGGGAGCCUGAACCAGCCAAGUCGCGUGAGGGAAGACGGUCCUACGGAUUGUAAACCUCUUUUGCCGGGGAGCAACGGGGUCCUUGCGAGGGCCCGAUGAGAGUACCCGGAGAAAAAGCAUCGGCUAACUCCGUGCCAGCAGCCGCGGUAAUACGGAGGAUGCGAGCGUUAUCCGGAUUUAUUGGGUUUAAAGGGUGCGUAGGCGGGCUGUUAAGUCAGCGGUCAAAUGUCGGGGCUCAACCCCGGCCUGCCGUUGAAACUGGCGGCCUCGAGUGGGCGAGAAGUAUGCGGAAUGCGUGGUGUAGCGGUGAAAUGCAUAGAUAUCACGCAGAACUCCGAUUGCGAAGGCAGCAUACCGGCGCCCGACUGACGCUGAGGCACGAAAGCGUGGGUACCGAACAGGAUUAGAUACCCUGGUAGUCCACGCAGUAAACGAUGAAUGCUAGCUGUCCGGUUCUACGGGACUGGGUGGCACAGCGAAAGCGUUAAGCAUUCCACCUGGGGAGUACGCCGGCAACGGUGAAACUCAAAGGAAUUGACGGGGGCCCGCACAAGCGGAGGAACAUGUGGUUUAAUUCGAUGAUACGCGAGGAACCUUACCCGGGCUCAAACGCCAAAGGACAGCCGCUGAAAGGCGGCCUCCCUCCGGGGUCUUUGGCGAGGUGCUGCAUGGUUGUCGUCAGCUCGUGCCGUGAGGUGUCGGCUUAAGUGCCAUAACGAGCGCAACCCCCAUCGACAGUUGCUAACGGGUGAUGCCGAGGACUCUGUCGAGACUGCCGGCGCAAGCUGCGAGGAAGGCGGGGAUGACGUCAAAUCAGCACGGCCCUUACGUCCGGGGCGACACACGUGUUACAAUGGCCGGUACAGCGGGAUGCCAGGGCGCGAGCCCGAGCGGAACCCGAAAACCGGUCUCAGUUCGGAUUGGAGUCUGCAACCCGACUCCAUGAAGCUGGAUUCGCUAGUAAUCGCGCAUCAGCCACGGCGCGGUGAAUACGUUCCCGGGCCUUGUACUCACCGCCCGUCAAG
Molecule: ribosomal RNA, 1406 nt
Filed under: uncultured bacterium
Lineage: Bacteria
Description: bacterial SSU rRNA
Rfam family: Bacterial small subunit ribosomal RNA
Source: RNAcentral